GACGAACGCUGGCGGCGUGCUUAACACAUGCAAGUCGAGCGGUAAGGCCCUUUCGGGGGUACACGAGCGGCGAACGGGUGAGUAACACGUGGGUGACCUGCCCUCAGCUCUGGGAUAAGCCUGGGAAACCGGGUCUAAUACUGGAUAUGACUCCAUGACGCAUGUUGUGGGGUGGAAAGCCUUGUGCGGCUGAGGAUGGGCCCGCGGCCUAUCAGCUUGUUGGUGGGGUGANGGCCUACCAAGGCGACGACGGGUAGCCGGCCUGAGAGGGCGACCGGCCACACUGGGACUGAGACACGGCCCAGGACUCCUACGGGAGGCAGCAGUGGGGAAUCUUGCGCAA
This 343-nucleotide ribosomal RNA is filed under the name uncultured bacterium. Its description in RNAcentral is "bacterial SSU rRNA". It matches the Rfam family "Bacterial small subunit ribosomal RNA", at positions 28 to 371 of the family's 1533-position model. The record is from RNAcentral.